AGCUAGUGCACACGGUGGCUUUUCCUCCCAGUUCCACCGCAUUAGCUGUUCCCCUCUGGAGGUUUUGACCUUCACACCUACAAGGGCCCCGGCUUUUCGGCGGCCCUCUUUU
This is a non-coding RNA of Rhizobium sp. Root708, 112 nucleotides long. Lineage: Bacteria; Pseudomonadati; Pseudomonadota; Alphaproteobacteria; Hyphomicrobiales; Rhizobiaceae. The record is from Rfam.